AGAGUUUGAUCCUGGCUCAGGACGAACGCUGGCGGCACGCUUAACACAUGCAAGUCGAACGAGAGAAGAGGAGCUUGCUUUUCUGAUCUAGUGGCGGACGGGUGAGUAACACGUGAGCAAUCUGCCUUUCAGAGGGGGAUACCGAUUGGAAACGAUCGUUAAUACCGCAUAACAUAAUUGAACCGCAUGAUUUGAUUAUCAAAGAUUUAUCGCUGAAAGAUGAGCUCGCGUCUGAUUAGCUAGUUGGUAAGGUAACGGCUUACCAAGGCGACGAUCAGUAGCCGGACUGAGAGGUUGAUCGGCCACAUUGGGACUGAGACACGGCCCAGACUCCUACGGGAGGCAGCAGUGGGGAAUAUUGCACAAUGGAGGAAACUCUGAUGCAGCGAUGCCGCGUGAGGGAAGAAGGUUUUAGGAUUGUAAACCUCUGUCUUCAGGGACGAAAAAAGACGGUACCUGAGGAGGAAGCUCCGGCUAACUACGUGCCAGCAGCCGCGGUAAUACGUAGGGAGCGAGCGUUGUCCGGAAUUACUGGGUGUAAAGGGAGCGUAGGCGGGAUCGCAAGUCAGAUGUGAAAACUAUGGGCUUAACCCAUAAACUGCAUUUGAAACUGUGGUUCUUGAGUGAAGUAGAGGUAAGCGGAAUUCCUAGUGUAGCGGUGAAAUGCGUAGAUAUUAGGAGGAACAUCAGUGGCGAAGGCGGCUUACUGGGCUUUAACUGACGCUGAGGCUCGAAAGCGUGGGGAGCAAACAGGAUUAGAUACCCUGGUAGUCCACGCCGUAAACGAUGAUUACUAGGUGUGGGGGGACUGACCCCCUCCGUGCCGCAGCAAACGCAAUAAGUAAUCCACCUGGGGAGUACGACCGCAAGGUUGAAACUCAAAGGAAUUGACGGGGGCCCGCACAAGCAGUGGAGUAUGUGGAUUAAUUCGAAGCAACGCGAAGAACCUUACCAGGUCUUGACAUCGUAUGCAUAGCUCAGAGAUGAGUGAAAUCUCUUCGGAGACAUAUAGACAGGUGGUGCAUGGUUGUCGUCAGCUCGUGUCGUGAGAUGUUGGGUUAAGUCCCGCAACGAGCGCAACCCUUACUGUUAGUUGCUACGCAAGAGCACUCUAGCAGGACUGCCGUUGACAAAACGGAGGAAGGUGGGGAUGACGUCAAAUCAUCAUGCCCCUUAUGACCUGGGCCUCACACGUACUACAAUGGCUGUCAACAGAGGGAAGCAAAGCCGCGAGGUGGAGCGAACCCCUAAAAGCAGUCUUAGUUCGGAUUGUAGGCUGCAACCCGCCUACAUGAAGUCGGAAUUGCUAGUAAUCGCAGAUCAGCAUGCUGCGGUGAAUACGUUCCCGGGCCUUGUACACACCGCCCGUCACGCCAUGGGAGUCGGUAACACCCGAAGCCUGUAGUCUAACCGCAAGGAGGACGCAGUCGAAGGUGGGAUUGAUGACUGGGGUGAAGUCGUAACAAGGUA
This 1470-nucleotide ribosomal RNA is filed under the name metagenome. RNAcentral describes it as "bacterial SSU rRNA". It matches the Rfam family "Bacterial small subunit ribosomal RNA". The record is from RNAcentral.